RNAcentral lists this ribosomal RNA (253 nucleotides) under uncultured bacterium. RNAcentral describes it as "partial 16S ribosomal RNA". It matches the Rfam family "Bacterial small subunit ribosomal RNA", at positions 524 to 776 of the family's 1533-position model. The record is from RNAcentral.
UACGUAGGGGGCAAGCGUUAUCCGGAUUUACUGGGUGUAAAGGGAGCGUAGACGGCAGUGCAAGUCUGAAGUGAAAGGCGGGGGCCCAACCCCCGGACUGCUUUGGAAACUGUGCUGCUGGAGUGCAGGAGAGGCAAGUGGAGUUCCUAGUGUAGCGGUGAAAUGCGUAGAUAUUAGGAGGAACACCAGUGGCGAAGGCGGCUUGCUGGACUGUAACUGACGUUGAGGCUCGAAAGCGUGGGGAGCAAACAGG